UAAUCUUUUAUCUUACUGUCUUGAGAUUUGUCUAAUUCAUAAAGUAAAUAAAAGAUAUUAUUUAUACUCGUCAUUUAUUAAUUGAUCGUGUUUUUAUGUAACAAUGUUUAUUACUCUUGUAGCAAUCUCAUAUAAAAUAACGUUCAACUCUCAGUGAUCAUGUGCUAAGUGGUGUACCAAAAAGCCCUGUACAUUUCACAUUUUGGAUAUACAUAAUUUCACAACUUGAAUGGUACUAUCUACAAAAGCAAUGGAAUACGAUAAUGAUGAUACUUGGCGCCGUUCAUCAUCACCUCAGUUUAAGGAAAAGAAAAUAUGUAAACCAUUACCAAGGAGGUCAACCACUACUGCUGUUAUUGUCCUUGGCCUGGCAGUCUUAAGUUGUUUAAUGGGAUACUGUGUUCUAAGUGAAACCUUACCCUAUGAAUCAAAAACCUUGCGACUUGUUAUUAUAUUUUUUCGGCAUGGGGCUAGGGCACCAGUUAGUUCAUAUAAAAGUGAUCCCUUUAAAAACUAUCAGUGGCCAGAUGGCCUAGGAAGCUUGACUAAUGCAGGUAAACUGCAACUAUAUGAGCUGGGAAGGAAAUACCGAAGUUAUUAUGCUAAUUUCAUUCCUGAAGAGUAUCAAGAGAAAGAUGUUUAUAUUAGAAGCAGUGACUCUUCCCGUUGUUUAAUGAGUGCUUACACCUUCUUAGCAGGAUUGUAUCCUCCUUAUGAAAGACAAAUUUGGCAUCCUGAGAUAUUAUGGCAGCCCAUACCUGUACACUCUUUACCAAGACAACUUGAUAAUAUAGUAGCAGCUACCAAACCAUGCAAGACCUGGAAGGGAAUGUACCAAGAAUUGCUAGCUGAAAAAAAUGCUGAUAGUAAAUACACUGAGUUGUUCGACUAUUUAAGUAAACAUACAAAUCAAAGUAUGAGAAGUAUUUUAGAUGUAGAUUUCUUUUAUAGUACAUUACAAGCUCAAUAUGAAGCAGGUUUGAAACUUCCGGAGUGGACUAAAACUGUUUUUCCUACUAAAAUGAGACCACCGUUUAUGUUGAGUUUAGCAUUAUUAUCAUAUAAUGAAUCAUUACAAAGAUUACAUACUGGCCCGCUUUUAAAUAACAUAAGAUCACACCUACAAGAGGCAGUAAUGCACACAAACACGGAUCGGGCACUAUACAUAUAUUCAGGGCAUGACGUCAACUUGGUAUCGUUAAUGAGAGCAUUGGGUUACACAGAGCUCUUAGAGCCGGAGUACGGUGCAAGCAUUUUGCUGGAAUUGCACGAAGAGGUCGAACAGGACAAAUUUUACGUCAAGCUCUUCUAUCGCAACAAUACGAAGAUAGAAGUUCCAAUGGAACUAAAAGUACCAAAUUGUAUAGAACCUUGCACUUAUGACAAAUUUGUUGAACACCUCGGCACUCUGAUACCAUUGGAUUGGGAAGCGGAGUGUCAAAAUUAAUUACUACAAAAAAUAUUCCAGCGGAGGAACACGUUCGUAUAGUGUACUUUUCUUACAAAGUAUUAAAGGAUUAAAGGUAACAUUGAGCCAUAGACAAAACCUUUGCGACAGGCGUGUCUUGGAAUCUAUACUAUUAUGUAAACCAAUUUUUUUUAAAUCAAAUUUGCUGCCACAGAUGGAGCUAAUGUUGCAACAUUUUAACAGAUUCUAAUCAUUUUAUCAAUUGUCUUGCUAUAAAGCACUCCAGUUAUGCAAAUAAUGUAAUAAAUUCCCCUCUAUACACAUAUAUAAGUAUUCUAAUUUUUUUUCUUUACAAUUUAAUAAAUAAGAUGGUCACACCUGUCGCAGUUGUUUAUCUAAAUCUAGAUAUGUGUUGUUUUUUGUUAGAUGUGAGUAAUUUUAAAUUGGCAGCUAUAAGUGUUAAAUGUAGGGUGUCUUGCCAGAAAAUGUUAAAAUUUGAUCAAAAAGUAAAGCAAUUCGUUAUCUUGGACGAAUAUUUUGAGGCAAGCGUUACUAUCUCAUUGAAUUUGUCAUAUGUCAAAAUUGAAAUACAGUAUAUAUUUGACAGCCUGUGACAUCUGCUAAUAAGAGGUUAUAUUUUGGUCAAAGAACUAAAUGAUUGUUUGACUAGAAGCUCAAUUAAUUCUCCACUCUAGCUUUUUAUAUGAUAAUGUAUUCGACGGAUAUUUUUUUCUUCUGGUACCACUUUAUUGCUAAAGGUUGGCUGUUAACAACUUGAAUAAAAUAAAAAAACAGCCCGACUCGUGCCUCGAAUUUUGGACAUAAUAAUACGAAAACAAAAGUGUGUGGUUAGUGAUAAAAUCGUAAUUUUCCUACACACUUCAUCUUUGUUUACACGUAAAAUCAAUUCAGAAUAAAUACACUGUAUCCAAAAUAUUGUCUGGUACUAGAAUUUAUCAUUUCAUGAAACGGACAGUGAAAAUGGCAUAUUGUUAAAUCGUCAAUGUUUCAUGUUAUUUCAAUAAAGGGCCAUUUGUGUAAUGUUCAGAUUAGGGGGAGGAGUAUGUAGUUUUUUUAAAUCAUCCCAUCUAAAGUCUACAUAUAAUCUGCCCCGCCAUAAUGCACCAUACGAAAUAGUGGUCUAUUUCCAUAUACAGCUCUUUAUAUUGUUAAAGCCGUAUUUUUGAAAUACCUAAUAUAUAAAAAAAUUGCCAAAUCAUGAAGAUUUACGACCGACAUUCUAUAUUUAUUUUUCUAUAUAUUUACAAUAGCUACAGACAUGAUACGUUUGUCUUCCUCACAGAUAUUAUAAAUUGUUACUAUUAAUGUAUUUUUUUAUCACAUGAUUUUUAUAAUAAUUUAAACUAUAUUUAGAUAAACUUUUUGUAUCUUUAAAUGAAUUUGAAUCUCGCUGUAACCGAAUUAUUUAACCACUUUUGAUAUUAUAUACCUAUGUAUAAUCUGUGGCACAGAGCCGUACAUGUAAGAUUCA
RNA transcript from Pieris napi, 2900 nucleotides. It is a transcript of the gene named prostatic acid phosphatase-like, with no coding region annotated. The transcript has 7 exons. NCBI's taxonomy places the organism in Eukaryota, Metazoa, Arthropoda, Insecta, Lepidoptera, Pieridae. The record is from RefSeq and is a predicted model, not a curated record.